This is a long non-coding RNA of Esox lucius (northern pike), 581 nucleotides long. Lineage: Eukaryota; Metazoa; Chordata; Actinopteri; Esociformes; Esocidae. The record is from Ensembl.
CUUUCCUCUCCCAUUGCGCCCUCGCGCUCUGCAAGCCUACUGUAUUCUACUGCAGAGUGGGGCGCGUGACGUCAACGAACGCUGGAGCGGCUCCUUGGCUUGAGCGAAAAAUGGGGAGAAAUUGCGAGAAUUCUGAAUGGAAAUGGAAACAUUCUCAUGGAAAAUUUCUGCUCCAUGUUCACACGGAGUGACCCAGAAUCAGCGUCAGGCUGCCGCCACCAAGAGAAAACGCUGGCAGAUGCCAGAACAUUCUGGAGGCAGCUAGCAGAGCUAGCCCCUCCACUACAAAGGUGCCCCCCAUCAGGACCUCCUCAGGCUGGGUAUUACAAGGAUAGCAGCUCACAGGGGAAGCAGAAGGAGAAGUGAUGCAAGAGCAUGAACCCAUACUUCACAGGUCCUGAUGCUGCACUGUCCCAGCGAUGCGAGAGAUGGAAAAAGAGGAAGACAGCCUGGAGAUGAAGGGGGCAGCUCGCCCCUGACAAACUGCCCCAGUGUGGUUUGCCUUUCAGUUUCAAUUUUCUUUACCGUUCCUCCUGUAUUUGUGUACAUAAAACACCCUCCAGGGCCCUGAACACUUGUCA